Molecule: ribosomal RNA, 301 nt
Filed under: uncultured bacterium
Lineage: Bacteria
Description: partial 16S ribosomal RNA
Rfam family: Bacterial small subunit ribosomal RNA
Source: RNAcentral
CAGCCGCCACGGUAAUGCGAAGGGUACAAGCGUUAAUCGGAAUUACUGGGCGUAAAGCGUGCGUAGGCGGUGAGUUAAGUCUGCUGUGAAAUCCCCGGGCUCAACCUGGGAAUGGCAGUGGAUACUGGCUCGCUAGAGUGUGUCAGAGGAUGGUGGAAUUCCCGGUGUAGCGGUGAAAUGCGUAGAGAUCGGGAGGAACAUCAGUGGCGAAGGCGGCCAUCUGGGACAACACUGACGCUGAGGCACGAAAGCGUGGGGAGCAAACAGGAUUAGAUACCCGCGUAGUCCCUGUCUCUUAUAC